UCCAGACUCCUACGGGAGGCAGCAGUGGGGGAUAUUGCACAAUGGGGGGAACCCUGAUGCAGCGACGCCGCGUGGGUGAAGGAGCGUUUCGGCGCGUAAAGCCCUAUCGGCAGGGAAGAAGGAGGACGGUACCUGACUAAGAAGCCCCGGCUAACUACGUGCCAGCAGCCGCGGUAAUACGUAGGGGGCAAGCGUUAUCCGGAUUUACUGGGUGUAAAGGGGGCGCAGACGGCAGCGCAAGCCAGGAGUGAAAGCCCGGGGCCCAACCCCGGGACUGCUCUUGGAACUGCGCGGCUGGAGUGCAGGAGGGGCAGGCGGAAUUCCUAGUGUAGCGGUGAAAUGCGUAGAUAUUAGGAGGAACACCGGCGGCGAAGGCGGCCUGCUGGACCGUAACUGACGUUGAGGCUCGAAAGCGUGGGGAGCAAACAGGAUUAGAUACCCGGGUA
RNAcentral lists this ribosomal RNA (446 nucleotides) under uncultured bacterium. Its description in RNAcentral is "bacterial SSU rRNA". It matches the Rfam family "Bacterial small subunit ribosomal RNA", at positions 330 to 792 of the family's 1533-position model. The record is from RNAcentral.